GUCAGAGGGGGCAAGCGUUGCUCGGAAUUACUGGGCGUAAAGGGCGCGUAGGCGGAAUGGCAAGUCGGUCGUGAAAUCCUUCGGCUCAACCGAAGAACGUCGAUCGAAACUGCCGUUCUUGAGGAUUGCAGAGGAGACUGGAAUUCCCGGUGUAGCGGUGAAAUGUGUAGAGAUCGGGAGGAACACCGGUGGCGAAGGCGGGUCUCUGGGCAAUUCCUGACGCUGAGGCGCGAAAGCGUGGGGAGCAAACGGG
This 253-nucleotide ribosomal RNA is filed under the name uncultured bacterium. RNAcentral's name for it is "partial 16S ribosomal RNA". It matches the Rfam family "Bacterial small subunit ribosomal RNA", at positions 524 to 776 of the family's 1533-position model. The record is from RNAcentral.